GAAUAUUGGACAAUGGGGGCAACCCUGAUCCAGCCAUGCCGCGUGUGUGAAGAAGGCCUUUUGGUUGUAAAGCACUUUAAGCAGUGAAGAAGACUCAAUGGUUAAUACCCUUGGAGGUUACAAUUAGCUCCAGAAUAACACCCGGCUACCCCUGUCCCAGCGCCCGCGGUAAUACAGAGGGUGCAAGCGUUAAUCGGAAUUACUGGGCGUAAAGCGAGCGUAGGUGGCUUGAUAAGUCAGAUGUGAAAUCCCCGGGCUUAACCUGGGAACUGCAUCUGAUACUGUUAGGCUAGAAUAGGUGAGAGGAAGGUAGAAUUCCAGGUGUAGCGGUGAAAUGCGUAGAGAUCUGGAGGAAUACCGAUGGCGAAGGCAGCCUUCUGGCAUCAUAUUGACACUGAGGUUCGAAAGCGUGGGUAGCAAAC
RNAcentral lists this ribosomal RNA (422 nucleotides) under uncultured bacterium. RNAcentral's name for it is "partial 16S ribosomal RNA". It matches the Rfam family "Bacterial small subunit ribosomal RNA", at positions 359 to 773 of the family's 1533-position model. The record is from RNAcentral.